GACGAACGCUGGCGGCGUGCUUAACACAUGCCAGUCGAACGGAAAGGCCCUGCUUUUGUGGGGUGCUCGAGUGGCGAACGGGUGAGUAACCCGUGAGUAACCUGCCCUUGACUUUGGGAUAACUUCAGGAAACUGGGGCUAAUACCGGAUAGGAGCUCCUGCUGCAUGGUGGGGGUUGGAACGUUUAGGCGGUUGGGGAUGGACUCGCGGCUUAUCAGCUUGUUGGUGGGGUAGUGGCUUACCAAGGCUUUGACGGGUAGCCGGCCUGAGAGGGUGACCAGCCACCUUGGGACUGAGAUACGGCGCAGACUCCUACGGGAGGCAGCAGUGGGGAAUAUUGCACAAUGGGCGGAAGCCUGAUGCAGCAACGCCGCGUGCGGGAUGACGGCCUUCGGGUUGUAAACCGCUGUCGCCUGUGACGAAGCGUGAGUGACGGUAAUGGGUAAAGAAGCACCGGCUAACUACGUG
RNAcentral lists this ribosomal RNA (468 nucleotides) under uncultured bacterium. RNAcentral's name for it is "partial 16S ribosomal RNA". It matches the Rfam family "Bacterial small subunit ribosomal RNA", at positions 28 to 507 of the family's 1533-position model. The record is from RNAcentral.